This is a non-coding RNA of Rattus norvegicus (Norway rat), 69 nucleotides long. The record is from Rfam. NCBI's taxonomy places the organism in Eukaryota, Metazoa, Chordata, Mammalia, Rodentia, Muridae.
GGGGAUUUAGCUCAAUGGUAGAGCGCUUGCCUAGCAAGCGCAAGGCCCUGGGUUCGGUCCCCAGCUCCA